Molecule: non-coding RNA, 96 nt
Organism: Nicotiana sylvestris (wood tobacco)
Lineage: Eukaryota; Viridiplantae; Streptophyta; Magnoliopsida; Solanales; Solanaceae
Source: Rfam
AGGACAUAUUAUUGUACUCGACUGUAUUCACGGCGUGAAACAGGGGAUUACACUAUUUUUAAACGGAAAGUGAAUCAAUUAACAUAAUAGACUCCU